GCAUGUUGUGUCUCGUGCUGGGGACACAACGGCCGUUGUGCUCUUGGGUCUGAGUGCAUGUGAAGCUGUGCUUGCUGCAAUGUCAGGUCUCUGUGUGGGUGAGACCAGCUACAUCUCUCCUGGCUCCCAGGGUUGCACAGAAGAAGGCUCAGGCAGAGGGGCUCAGGGGCAGCUGAAUGCCUCCAACUCUGCCCAUGGCCAUGAAUUGCUGCUGUUGCUAGGUUCAGAAGAAAGGCAUAGGCUGGAAUCAUGUUUGACUUGACUGCAACAGCUCAUGCCGUAGCCUGUCCUGCUCUAGCUGUGCUGCAGAAUUACCCCAAAACAGGCCCUGUAUGCCAGGCGAACACUGACACCACCUCUGGACACUGUGGAUGAAGUGGCUCUGCAGCCAAGGUCUGUAACACCGAGAGAGAGCCUCCAGGAGGCUCAGGGGUGGGGAGGUAGGUGGGAGGUGUCACCUCCCUUGGCUGCAAGAUUCAAAAGAUGGCCAAAUAAAUAACAGUAAUUGAACUGGAAAACCA
This 521-nucleotide long non-coding RNA is filed under the name Struthio camelus australis. RNAcentral describes it as "lncRNA (ENSSCUG00000012262.1)". Lineage: Eukaryota; Metazoa; Chordata; Aves; Struthioniformes; Struthionidae. The record is from RNAcentral.